This 679-nucleotide ribosomal RNA is filed under the name Pseudomonas sp. I11B-02673. Its description in RNAcentral is "bacterial SSU rRNA". It matches the Rfam family "Bacterial small subunit ribosomal RNA", at positions 68 to 743 of the family's 1533-position model. The record is from RNAcentral. Lineage: Bacteria; Pseudomonadati; Pseudomonadota; Gammaproteobacteria; Pseudomonadales; Pseudomonadaceae.
GAUGAGAAGAGCUUGCUCUUCGAUUCAGCGGCGGACGGGUGAGUAAUGCCUAGGAAUCUGCCUGGUAGUGGGGGACAACGUUUCGAAAGGAACGCUAAUACCGCAUACGUCCUACGGGAGAAAGCAGGGGACCUUCGGGCCUUGCGCUAUCAGAUGAGCCUAGGUCGGAUUAGCUAGUUGGUGGGGUAAUGGCUCACCAAGGCGACGAUCCGUAACUGGUCUGAGAGGAUGAUCAGUCACACUGGAACUGAGACACGGUCCAGACUCCUACGGGAGGCAGCAGUGGGGAAUAUUGGACAAUGGGCGAAAGCCUGAUCCAGCCAUGCCGCGUGUGUGAAGAAGGUCUUCGGAUUGUAAAGCACUUUAAGUUGGGAGGAAGGGCAGUAAGCUAAUAUCUUGCUGUUUUGACGUUACCGACAGAAUAAGCACCGGCUAACUCUGUGCCAGCAGCCGCGGUAAUACAGAGGGUGCAAGCGUUAAUCGGAAUUACUGGGCGUAAAGCGCGCGUAGGUGGUUUGUUAAGUUGGAUGUGAAAGCCCCGGGCUCAACCUGGGAACUGCAUCCAAAACUGGCAAGCUAGAGUACGGUAGAGGGUGGUGGAAUUUCCUGUGUAGCGGUGAAAUGCGUAGAUAUAGGAAGGAACACCAGUGGCGAAGGCGACCACCUGGACUGAUACUGA